AUUAAUAAACUAAGAUAAUAAUAUACUUUCACGAAUGGGUAUGAGCUAAUCAUAUAUACAUAUAUUACUUACGUGGUAUAGUAAGUAUAUAAUACAUGUUUAGGGGUGAUAGGCCUUUCAAAUUUUCUGAUAACUUGUUUCAUAUGAAAAGUACUAAGUACAGUGUCAUAUUUAAAAAGCUAAGCUUUUAAAUACGAAUUAAAGAUAUUAAGUAUGUUAAGUAUAGUAUAAAAGCUAGCUAACCUUUAAAAUAAUAUUUAUUAUAUAUUUUUAUUGUUACUAAUGUGAUAGUACUAGUUGUAGUACUACUUGAUAAUGUUAAUAUGAGUAGUUUAAAUAAAUGUGCUAAAGGAACUCGGCAAAUAAUUAUUCAACUGUUUAUCAAAAACAUAGCUAUAUGAAUUAAUAUAUAGUUAUUUCUGCUCANUGACAUUAAAUAGCCGCAGUACCCUGACUGUGCAAAGGUAGCAUAAUCAAUUGGCUUUUAAUUGGAGUCUAGUAUGAAGGAAAAUAUGGAUGGUAACUGUCUUAGCAUAUUUAUUGGAAAUUAUUAAGUGAGUGCAAAUACUCAUAGAGAUAAAAAAGACGAGAAGACCCUAGAAACUUGAUUAAAGGUUUUGUUGGGGCGACAAAAUUACACUUAACUAAUUUUUAUUAACAGGAUGCGAAGAAGAAAGAAUAAGUUACUCUAGGGAUAACAGCAUAAUUUUAAUAGUUUGUGACCUCGAUGUUGGACUAGGUAUUAUAAUCUUUAGACAAGAUUAUAAAGCGCUCUGUUCGAGCAAUUUCACCUACAUGAUCUGAGUUCAGACCGG
RNAcentral lists this ribosomal RNA (815 nucleotides) under Helix buchi. RNAcentral describes it as "partial large subunit ribosomal RNA". Lineage: Eukaryota; Metazoa; Mollusca; Gastropoda; Stylommatophora; Helicidae. The record is from RNAcentral.